CAGUUGAGAAGAAAAGAUUGUGACUAAUAAUUGCAAUUCAUGACGGUAUCAACAGAAGAAGCACCGGCUAACUACGUGCCAGCAGCCGCGGUAAUACGUAGGGUGCGAGCGUUAAUCGGAAUUACUGGGCGUAAAGGGUGCGCAGGCGGUUCUGUAAGUCAGAUGUGAAAUCCCCGGGCUUAACCUGGGAACUGCGUUUGAAACUACAGAGCUAGAGUGUGGCAGAGGGGGGUGGAAUUCCAUGUGUAGCAGUGAAAUGCGUAGAGAUAUGGAAGAACAUCGAUGGCGAAGGCAGCCCCCUGGGUCAACACUGACGCUCAUGCACGAAAGCGUGGGGAGCAAACAGGAUUAGAUACCCUGGUAGUCCACGCCCUAAACUAUGUCAACUAGUUGUCGGGCCUUAUUAGGUUUGGUAACGUAGCUAACGCGUGAAGUUGACCGCCUGGGGAGUACGGUCGCAAGAUUAAAAACUCAAAGGAAUUGACGGGG
Molecule: ribosomal RNA, 489 nt
Filed under: uncultured bacterium
Lineage: Bacteria
Description: bacterial SSU rRNA
Rfam family: Bacterial small subunit ribosomal RNA
Source: RNAcentral